AGAGUUUGAUCCUGGCUCAGAACGUACGCUGGCGGCACGCCUAAUACAUGCAAGUCGAACGAAGUAGCAAUACUUAGUGGCAGACGGGUGAGUAACAUGUGGGUAUCUUCCCUUUGGUGAGGAAUAACACGAGGAAACUUGUGCUAAUACCUCAUAAGUCUUUACGGAGAAAGCUUUAUGCGCCAUUGGAUGAGCCUGCACUUGAUUAGUUUGUUGGUGGGGUAAUGGCCUACCAAGACAAUGAUCAAUAGCUGAUUUGAGAGGAUGAUCAGCCACAUUGGGACUGAGACACGGCCCAAACUCCUACGGGAGGCAGCAGUAGGGAAUCUUGCACAAUGGAGGAAACUCUGAUGCAGCGAUGCCGCGUGAGUGAAGAAGGCCUUUGGGUUGUAAAGCUCUUUCGUCGGGGAAGAAAAUGACUGUACCCGAAUAAGAAGGUCCGGCUAACUUCGUGCCAGCAGCCGCGGUAAUACGAAGGGACCUAGCGUAGUUCGGAAUUACUGGGCUUAAAGAGCUCGUAGGUGGUUAGAAAAGUUAGUGGUGAAAUCCCAAGGCUUAACCUUGGAACUGCCACUAAAACUUUUUAACUAGAGUAUGAUAGAGGUAAGCGGAAUUUCUAGUGUAGAGGUGAAAUUCGUAGAUAUUAGAAAGAACACCAAUUGCGAAGGCAGCUUUCUGGAUCAUUACUGACACUGAGGAGCGAAAGCAUGGGUAGCGAAGAGGAUUAGAUACCCUCGUAGUCCAUGCCGUAAACGAUGUGUGCUAGACGUUGGAAAUUUAUUUUUCAGUGUCGCAGCAAAAGCGUUAAGCACACCGCCUGGGGAGUACGACCGCAAGGUUAAAACUCAAAUGAAUUGACGGGGACCCGCACAAGUAGUGGAGCAUGUGGUUUAAUUCGAAGAUACGCGCAGAACCUUACCAACACUUGACAUGUUCGUCGCGACUCUAAGAGAUUAGAGUCUUCGGUUCGGCCGGACGAAACACAGGUGCUGCAUGGCUGUCGUCAGCUCGUGUCGUGAGAUGUUGGGUUAAGUCCCGCAACGAGCGCAACCCUUACUUUUAGUUGCUACCAUUUAGUUGGGCACUCUAAAAGAACUGCCAGUGAUAAGCUGGAGGAAGGUGGGGAUGACGUCAAGUCCUCAUGGCCCUUACGUGUUGGGCUACACACGUGCUACAAUGGUACUUACAAUGAGAUGCGAAGAGGCGACUCUAAGCCAAUCCCAAAAAAGUACCUCAGUUCGGAUUGUACUCUGCAACUCGAGUACAUGAAGCUGGAAUUACUAGUAAUCGUGGAUCAGCGCGCCACGGUGAAUACGUUCCCGGGUCUUGUACACACCGCCCGUCACACCAUGGAAGUUGGUUACACCUUAAGGCAAAUUGUUAACCUUCGGGAAACAUUUGACUACGGUACGAUCAGCGACUGGGGUGAAGUCGUAACAAGGUAACC
This 1447-nucleotide ribosomal RNA is filed under the name uncultured bacterium. RNAcentral's name for it is "bacterial SSU rRNA". It matches the Rfam family "Bacterial small subunit ribosomal RNA". The record is from RNAcentral.